GUGAAUCAUCAAAUUUUUGAACGCAAAUUACACUCUCCUCGGAGAGUAUGCCUGUUUGAGGGUCAGCCUAUAAAAAAUCGACAUCGUUGCUGUUUCGCGGUGACGUUCGUCGGAAAUUGGGUCAUCUUAAAUCCUUUUGGUUUUAAGCGACUUAAAAUUUUCUUUUUGGUUCCAUGAACGUUUCUAAGAUUUAUUUCUUUACACGUUUAAGGGUAUCGAUUUUUAUUAGACGUGACCAUCAUUUCGGAUCGCGUCCAUAAUCUUUAAUUAAUUGACCCUAAACAGGUAAG
This 290-nucleotide unclassified non-coding RNA is filed under the name Glomeraceae sp. RNAcentral describes it as "partial contains 5.8S ribosomal RNA and internal transcribed spacer 2". The stretch from base 1 to 65 matches the Rfam family "5.8S ribosomal RNA", at positions 84 to 154 of the family's 154-position model. The record is from RNAcentral. Lineage: Eukaryota; Fungi; Glomeromycota; Glomeromycetes; Glomerales; Glomeraceae.